GCCUUCGUGGUGUAGUGGUCUGCAUAAUCGACGCGUAACCGAGAGGUCCAUGGUUCGAUUCCCGGCGAAGGCG
Molecule: non-coding RNA, 73 nt
Organism: Stegodyphus mimosarum
Lineage: Eukaryota; Metazoa; Arthropoda; Arachnida; Araneae; Eresidae
Source: Rfam